Phyllostomus discolor (pale spear-nosed bat) is the source of this 156-nucleotide small nuclear RNA. RefSeq annotates it as U1 spliceosomal RNA. The record is from RefSeq and is a predicted model, not a curated record. The transcript has a single exon. Lineage: Eukaryota; Metazoa; Chordata; Mammalia; Chiroptera; Phyllostomidae.
UUACUUACCUGGCAGGGGAGAUACCAUGAUCCUGAAGGUGGUUUUCCCAGGAUGAGGCUCACCCUUUGCACUCCGGGUGUGCUGACUCUUGUGGUUUCCCCAAAUGUAGGAAACUCCACCACAUAAUGUGUGGUAGUGGAUUCACACUGCAUUCAC